Molecule: long non-coding RNA, 695 nt
Organism: Penaeus chinensis
Lineage: Eukaryota; Metazoa; Arthropoda; Malacostraca; Decapoda; Penaeidae
Exons: 2
Source: RefSeq, a predicted model, not a curated record
CUGUUCAUGACAAUUUUCUGUAUAUUUUCAUUUAUGUUUUAUUUUGCUGGAUGUUGAGGGUUCGUAUACAUGCAUUUAUGAAAGAGAUUUAUAUUUUUUUGAUGUUUUAUUUUGUAUAUGGGUUUAUGGGCAUGUUUGUGAUUAAUUAUACCACAAGUGUGUUUGUCAGUGUAUCUACCCAUGUCUGAAUUAUAAGUACUUAUGGAAAGUAGAGUGUUAAGACUGAUAGAAAGGAAAAUGGAAACGAUAUUAGUAACAUGAUAUACACACUUGGAGCAACAUUUAUUUAAAGCAUUUUUAAAAAUCCGAAAAUGUAUAUUAAAAAAAUGCCUACCUUUUUAAAGUCACUCAUAACUUAGAUUUAAUGUUCUAUUAAUUCAGGUCUCAAGACUUUACCUGUAUAUUAAAAAACACGACAACAUAUGCAUUUACACAUUUUAUUCAGCAGAUAUCAGGAGUAUGUGCAUAAAAGAGAUCAACUUUGUACAAAUAGAAUCAGAAAAUAUAAAUACAUCUGUUCUACCAUUCUUGUAUUAAAAAAAUCUACAAUAUAAAGAGCAUCCAUUAUAUAUUAACACUGUAGAUCCCAUACUUACAAUUAACGCAGUUAGGAUAAGGAAAAAAAAAUAUUAAGAACACCCCUUCAGUGAGUAUUCUCUUUGAGUGUGAAAAAGGAGGAGGGGUAGGAGAAGAAG